Chiloscyllium plagiosum (whitespotted bambooshark) is the source of this 444-nucleotide non-coding RNA. NCBI's taxonomy places the organism in Eukaryota, Metazoa, Chordata, Chondrichthyes, Orectolobiformes, Hemiscylliidae. The record is from the annotation of a RefSeq genome assembly.
AAUCAGCUUCAAUUUUCUUUGUUCUCACCCACCAUCUGCUUUGCAAACAUGUCGACUGUUAUUAUUUACUCAUUUCUCACUACUACAAUGUUCUUAAAAGGUAUUAAUUGUGCCGAUUCGAUCUCACAGAAGCCAGUUACAACGAUACAAUUUGAAAGAGAUUCAGUAACCAUUCAUUUCAGAUAUUCGACCACAGAUAGCACGUAUACUUUGCAACUGUACCGUCAGGACCCAGGGAAAUCUCCAACAUUCUUAAUCUACGUUACCAGCUAUGGCAGUACCAUCAAAGGAGACGGGGUGUCGGAUCGAUUUUUUGCAUCUUUGGACAAGUCAAAAAAUGAAGGGAAUUUCACCAUCAAUGAGCUGCAGCUGUCUGACAGCGCAGUAUAUUACUGCGGACUGAGAGACACAGUGACAGGAACCAGGCUGAGCCUCGUACAAUAA